Molecule: long non-coding RNA, 715 nt
Filed under: Anas platyrhynchos platyrhynchos (common mallard)
Lineage: Eukaryota; Metazoa; Chordata; Aves; Anseriformes; Anatidae
Description: lncRNA (ENSAPLG00000020515.1)
Source: RNAcentral
GAUGGUUCAGCUGAAAGAGCAUGGUACUGAUAUGGAGAGAUACUAGGAAAAGGCAAUGUUAAUACAGUGCGUUAUCUGCAAAGGCAAUGUACAAAGGGAAGAAGCAGAAGAGAUUGCAUAUGUGUAUGAUGAGAGUCAAGAUGCUCAUCAUAAUGGCUUCCCAGUUGUCCUCCAGGUGCUUGAGUUUUGUCCAAGGGACACCAGCCAGCCUAAACUGUUGUCCUUCUGCUUUAGAACUGAAGUUUUAAGAGCAUGCGAUCAAACAUUUGAGAAUAUUCCUAGAGACUGAAUCUCUUUCAUGGCAGGUGCAUGAGAGGCAGACUUGUUAUACAAUCUUAAAAUCCUUUUGGUGGAAAGUUCCUUUGGAGGAUGUGUGGUGCAGCUUCCUGCUCAGAGCAAGGCUGCUGAGGUUACGUCAGACAUCUCGGGGCAUCCUUGUGGCUUUUCAGCAUCUCCACAGCUGAAGGCUGCACAGCCUACCUCUGCAACUUGUUCCACUCUGACCACGCUCAGUAUGGUAAAACUUUUCUUUGUAUAUACAUCAUAUUUCCUGGACAAUAGCUUUUGUUUCUUCUAGUCCUUUCUCUGAGCUGCUUGAAGGUAGAGUCUGACUCACUCUUCUCUGUAACUGCCCUCUAGGUAGUCAAAGACAGAAAUAGAUUGACAGCUGUCCUCUUCUUCGUGCUGGACAGCCCUGCUUGCCUCAGCCUCCCAU